UUUAAAAAGAAUACAUACAUAUACACAUGGCCAAAAAGAAGUAAAAUGAAGUACUGAAUUAGUGGUCUACGGACUAUAAGAUUAUGGGUGAUUUUUACCAUCUCAAUCUUUUUCUAUUUUCCAAAUUUUCUUCAAUAGUAAUACUUAUAUUCUCAGAAAAUCUCCUAGUAACAGUUACAUUUAAAAGGAAAAAACAUCUUCAGCUGGAUCCACAUUGCUGUCUCCAUCUUUGUUCAAAUCUGUGGCUGUGUUUCCUACAGCCCAGCUUCCACCAUUGCCUGAACAUAGCAUAUUCCUGCUCUGCAGCUAUGGGUCUGUGAGGCUUCCCUCAGCAUCUCAAAGCCUGCCCUCAACAUUUACUACGCAAAGCACUAAUCUGACACAACAUAUGCUGCCUUUAGCUCUCAUCUUCUCUGUCCAAUUCACUGUUUUCUGGUUUUUUGUCCUUCCCCACAGCACCACGCACAGCAUCAUCCUAUACAGGAAUGUAAUAUUUGUUGACUGCCCAGAAUGAACAAGUUAUUCCAAUAUAAGGGCCACAAUUUGGUUCUGAGAAGAACAGCAUACCCAUGAUCUCUUGGGUCUCUGCUGUUUUUCAGCCAAAAGCUGCUGCCAUACUUCCCAGUUUGAACCACGGACUGAUAGGGCAGGGAAGAGAAGUGGAGAGGAGGUCUAGCUCAACCCCUGAAAUGAACACUGAGUUCUAAAGGUCCAGAGAGAUUCUCUGAGAGUCUCAGAGAAUCUGAGCCAGGCCUGGAAACACGAUGGCUCUAGAUUCAGUGGUCUUAUUCCCAGUCUGUUCUAUGGCAGCUCCCUCCAAGAGCUCUUCUCCCUAACUCUUCAAAGAAUGUAAACUGGCUAAUUAAGUCUGGAAAUGUCCACUCGAUUUCCUGAAUGUCCAUUUGGCAGGCUGGAAAAAAUUAAUUUGGGGUUGCCAUUGUGUUUUUCACUCUGUAUAAUUUAACCGUUAAAUAUCAAAGGUUCACUGAAGUAAAUGAAAGUAGUUUUUAAGCUUAACGGUUAGACACUUUAAAAAUUGUUUUCAAGGCAGCACAGCACAAAGGCCAGAAUCAUCUGAUCACAAAUUCCUCCCAGGGAUAUAAAAUUAAAAGCAUAAUUCAGUGUACUUGUAAGGCUACAUCUUCCCUUCUCACAUCCUUGGAAUAAAUGAAUGCAGACCUGAGUGAAGCCAGGGUGCAUAACAUGUGCUUAUGAGCCAGCCUGAAAAGUACACAUUUCACAACUCCAGGAAGACAUAUUAAAGUCACUGAUGAAUAAUUAUUCUGAUAAAGCUCUAAGAUCCUAUGAGGUUAGGCUGUGAUUUGAGUUGACAGCUUUGCUUAUAAACAUUGGUUCUAAAAAAUACCAAUUAAUGAUUCAUUUGAAUCCUGCUUUGCUCUGAUACUGUCCAAAUUCUGGCAUUUCAUGUCAUGUCGUCGUCUUUUACCAUAUAAACUUCAGUUUUAUCAAGGCAAAGACAGUAAAAAAUACUUUCAAGUAAAAAUAAUACAAAUAACAAAGGAUCUAUUUUACUGUUGUGAACUCUGACAAUUUCCUCUUUGCAUUAAAAAAGAUAAUAAGUGUCAAACCAGUUAUUAUAACACAUGACAGCUUCAGAAUAGAGACAGCGUAUCCAGCUUUAUAUUAUUCAGUAUAGACACAUGGGAAAAGAGCAAACAGUUUUUCUAACAGAUUUCUCUGCCUCAAUGCCAAUAUGGCAAAUAAUCAUAGGAAAAUGUUAUUACUAUACCUAAUUUUCCCUUGGAGCUUUUAAAUAGAAACUUUUGUUAACUGAUUUUUAAAAUAUGCACAGGGAGUGAGGACAGCAACAACACUACAUGGGGCCCUGCCAGUGACAUUCAGGCUUCAGAGAGGUGACACCUGGGAUGGGUGGGGUUCUGAAGAUUAAUAAGGGCUGAGGACCAGGGGAUGCAUCACAAAGACAGAUGUCUAUCCUAAAAGGGAAGAGCUCCUGAAAUGGCAUGAAUUCCACUGAGGGAGAAGUUGGGGAAAUGAAAUGAGAAAGCUUAAUCUGCGCUUUCUUUCUCUAAUUACUGGGGAUGACAAUCAAAAUUAGAGGAGAGUAAAGUAAUCCAGAUGUACAAGGAACAGAAGCAAAAUGAAGUAGUUAAAAGACAUUUUAUUAGAGACUAAGAGCGAUUCACUUCAACUAAGUGUUACCUAGUACCUACUAUGUGCUAGCUGUAACAUCGAAAUACAAUUGAAUAGACAGGGCUUAUUUUGUAAGAGCAAACUCUCAUCUACAGGACAUGCCAGGGGCAGAAUCAUGCUUACAAUAAGAUGCUCAGAAGCAAGACUGUCUUUUCCUUUAUACCUAAAAAAGCUUGUUUAGCAAACAGAGUUAUCUUUAUCUGAAAUGCUUCUAAUCCUGUGCUUUGUAUUUAUAUCCAUACCUUUUAGAUAAGACCUACUUUAUUGCCAAUUCUCACAUUUUACUGAGCUAACGAGCAGUAUCUAUAUUUGCUGAUUUUAUUUUCUGUCACCCUAGUGUUAUCAUAACUUAAUGCUAUCAGGGAAUAGGAAAGAAUCAAUGCUGAUUAUAGUUAAGAAAGCGAGGAUGAAAGCAAUACGAACUGGGGGUAUUUGAAUUUGUAAAGCCUCUACAGGAGGUCUUCUUAUCCUCGAGUCAUUUAAGAAUUACUCACUUAACUCAAACUGAGCAACGAUGCCACGAACACAUCAAGUAAAGCCAUCAGUGGCUCUGUGGUGAGGCAGCAUGGUUUAGUGGAAAGACAAUUCACACAAGGUCUUUAGAGUCAGGUGAACCCGUUUUUGAAAUCUGGCCCCAUCACUUUUUAAAAACGGUGCAACCUCUCUGGGCUUCAAUUUCUUCAUCUGUAAGAAUGAGAAUACCCCUGCUGCCACAGGGAUGUUAUACAGGAUUAGGUAAGACAAAAAGCAUGUGUGAGUGCCUAAGAGGAAGCAGCAUGUGGUCAAUACAUGCUGUUUCCUCUCUUUUCCCUCAACUGCUUCCUACCAGGAAGGGGGAGGGGGUCAGAAGUUUAAAAAUUUUACCACCAGUCUCUGAUUACGUGCGUAUAUAUGUGAGGAGAAACAUGUGCAAAGGAAGGUUAUAUAUUUCUGAGUACUGGGCUCUCAUGAGCUUUGCCACCUUUAAAAUAUUUUGGUUUUAUUUUAUUGAUUUUGACUAUCAUAUUAGCUUACUCAUAUAUAUCAUCUGACACAUCCAUUUACUGGUCUUUUAAGCAUCUCUGGGCAUGUGGAUGCUUGAAAAAUAGUUUAUUAGUAUGAUUUGACUAUCUCUAUCUUGUCUCCUAUUUUUUUUAGAGAAUUACAUGGCCGGCAGUGAGGAUGGUGUCAAAUCUCAUCAGUCAUCUACAACCACUUUCUCUGACCCUUUCUGCAUCAUUGAAUUUGACUCCCUUUCUUCCCAUACUCUCCUUAGAGGACCUAAGAGGAAAUGUGCAUGGGCAGACAAAACAGAAAACUAAAGGAGGGAAGAUAAGUGGGUUCUUGGCUUCCGGAAGGAUUCUGACCUACUUCACUUGCCUUCAAAUUCUGUGUGAAUUUAUUUCAGAAGCUACAGGGAAGAGCUAAGAACUCCUGUUUUCCUUGGAGAAGGGAAGAAACAAAUGCCAGAUUAAAACUCAGAGGAAACUCUGGAAAUUAUAAGCGAGGCUGCUACUAUAUAAUGACCAAGUCGCCUUGGUAUGUCUUGUGAGCUAAAAUUCCAUUUCACUUUUAUCAUAUAUAAAACCAGGAUUAUAGCUCCAGGAGGAGCUACAAUCUGUGUUCUCUUUGGUCUAUCUGAACAUCCCAAAUAGUAUCACAGUCUACCUGAAGAAGUGCUGCUGAAAUAGACUGACAAUGCUUCAAUUAUUUUGGCUGCAGGCAAAGACAAAAUAAGUCUCAGGAGUUCUCCAAAAGCUCAAAAAGUUCUCUGUAAACUAUGCUGUUAUCAAAUGGAAACUACAAGAACGCGACCAACACCACAGGAGGAGAGAUUUCCCUGGGCUUUGCUCUGGCUAUGAAAGAGUUUCCAAAUAUACAAUGAAAAGUCAGUGGAACCUGACAGGCGCCCAAUGUGGAGCACAGGGGUUCAGACACACAACCCCUCCAGCUCCUCUCCCGACGGCUUCCCACCCACUGAGCACUGGCCAAACCCUGGUUAAGCGAGCACUGACCUUCCUGUUUAUCUGAUAAUCCACACAGUGUAGAUGGGAAAAAAUUGAAAGAUAGAAAGGAGGAAGCAUAAAAAAAAUCAUUUCCUCAAUGUUAGUAAAAACAUAAAUUGGUUACAUGACAAACAUGAGGUGGUGACUAUGUUAAUGGUACAAUGGCAAAGUUAUUACAAUCUUUGGAAGAAAAAAAAAAUCCCAUUUCUUCACAACUUUCCAACAUUUUAAAAUCCAAGCCCAGGCUUGAAUCACUGCUUUAUGAGGUAACACUCCCUUUCUGACUGCAUCCGUGUGACUGGGCCACCAAGUCCCACUGAUGUAGUUGGUAUUACUACUGCUCAAUCAACACCUCUCAGAACAACAACUUUCACUUCAGAAUCCAAGCCUCAAGUUAUAGGGGGCACUAAAAUCUUUUUUUAUUUUUAUUUUUAUUUUUAAAAGACAGGAUCUGGCUCUGUCGCCCAGGCUAGAGUGCAGUGGCGUGAUCUCGGCUCACUGCAACCUCCACCUCUCGGGCUCAAGCAAUCCCGCUGCCUCAGCCUCCUGAGUAGCUGGGACUACAGGUGUGCACCACCAUGCCCAGCUAACUUUUGUAUUUUUGGUAGAGAAAGGGUUCCGUCAUGUUGCCCAGGCUGGUCUGGAACUCCUGGGCUCAAGCGAUCCUCCUGCCUCGGCCUCCCAAGGUGUGGAGAUUACAGGCAUGAGUCACUAUGCCCAGAUGAGCACUAAAAUCUUUAAAUAAACGCUCUUUUCUAUAGACUGCUAAGAGAAAUAGAAGGGAAAAAAGCAAUACAAUACUUAAGAUUUACUGGAGAAGUACUACUGGGAAUUGAGGGGAGAGUGUACUCUUUGGAAACAGAUAAACGUAGCUCUGAAACCCUGCCUUGCUCCUUGCUAGCUGCAUGAUUCUGAGCAAGCUUCUUGAUACUCAGCUUCCUCAUCCAUAAAUACGGGGAGCAAUGCACUUCCUUUGCAGGGCUCUUGUGGGCUGAGAGACAGCAUGCAUUCAACACUCAGAGUACCUCUCCUUUGUCGGUGCUCAAUAAACAGUAGCUCAUCUCUGCCAUUCCUGGAGUUAAGGCAGAAGACCCACAGUACAGCACUCUGCUUAGGAGCUCUUAUGAAAGUGUAGGUCAGAUUGGUGCAAGUCCUGUCAAAUGGGCAUUGGUGGGUUACACAAUCUGCUUUUAGCCUCUCAUUUAAAUUAAGCAUGGGCCAGAACAUCAAACUCUUUUCAAGAAAUCAGUGCUGUAACUGGGACCCUGAGACUACCUCCAUGCAAAGUAGUAUAUAAGUAAAAAGCUCUAAUUUUGCUUGUAGCUCAGCUAUAGAACACGCCAAAACCCCCCACCAAACCCACUGUUCUAAGUAAUGGAAGUGUACUCUGAGAACCAUCUGAAAAGAAGCCUGACAACUUGCCUGUCUUAUUCCCCACCUGACCUCAAUCUUUCUUCCUCUGAGUGGAUGAUUCCAGUGCCAGUUUUAGAUCCAGUGCCUACCCAAGAUUUGGCGCUUCCCAAACAGACUGUAGUGUUGGUAGACAGCAUAUAGCCAUCACACAGGCUGACACUAAGAGAUAGUGGGUAUGAAUGUGCGCUCUGUGCAAAAUCCUCAUGGGGAAGGAAGGCAACACCUGGGUACCUUUGGCAAUGUAAAAAUUCCCUUCUUUUAAAAAUGCUCUUUAAACAAAGAGCUUUAUAUCUAGACUCAAAAAUGCCUUUCCAUCAGUAUCAGCUUCUCCCAGGUAAAAGGAAGUGAAGACAGAAACAAUGGAAAUCCCAUUGAGUAGGGAGAGGCAAAACAGAAAGGUUUAUUCUAACGUGAGAGGAGCCCAUGAUGAUGUGAAAGGGAAAGAAGAGAGAAGAAUGGCAUAUAACCUGGAAGAUUCAAGUACAUUCACAGAUAGAUACUUUCCCAAGGUGUGCAGGAAUCUAGCCCUUCUUCAAGGAGACAACCAUAGCAUCAUAUAAUUCAAAUUAAUUCCUUUCUGAAUGAGAGCUGAGUAACAAAGACAAAACUUGGCAAGAUGGCACAGCACAGUGAGUGCAAAAUUGUAUUCCCAGUUGAUACUUGGUGAGAUGUUAGGUUGUCAGCUUAAUGUAAAAUAAAAUGAGGCCGCACAUCGUAAAGUGUUUUGAAAAGUAAAAAUCCAAGGGAGAUAGGAAGGCAGCAUUUUAAUGAGUCUAGAGAAAAUGAAUUCCAGGGUGAGCAGCUCUGCUCACGACCUCUUUUCAGUUGGUAUCCCAUAGGCCUCUGGGAAGCGGGGCACAUGAGGGAGGGGCCAGUGCCUGCCUCCACACUACCCCCUCUCCCCUAAUGAGGCUGGCAGCACCAUUUGCUAGCACCUGGCAGAUGAGAGAGAAAGAAAACCUGGUGUGGAGACCCCCAUCCAUUAAAGGCAAGAGAGUGAAAAGUGGGAGAGAAAGCUCCCAAGUUCAACAGCAGUGACCUAGGGUCAUGCAGUGAGGACUUACAAAGUCCAAGAAGAAAGCAUUUGGAGAAGUGCUACACAUGCUCAACUGAACUUCCUGUCAAAUUGUUCUCACUCGUUUGGGCACAAGUCUGCUUAAGCCAUCUCUCAUUAACAUUUACUCUUGCCCGAAGCCCUCUACGCCCCCAACCCCUGCUAAUCUUCCACAAGCAAGCUGAUCACACUGGGAUCUCCUUUUCCCAGACACGUUUGAUUCUCACUUUCUCCUGAACCUAGAAAUGUGCUUCCCACCAAAGCAUGCCAGGCACUAACUCGUCCCUACUGAAAGGGGCUGUUAAAAGCUCAUCUUCUUUCCAGAUGGUAGUGAGGUGUGAGGUGAUCCUUUCUCUUUCUUUUUUUUUUUUUUUUACUUUUAGCUACCCCUCAAUUCUGGUGUUCAGUAACAAUGUAUUCCACUUAAAAGAGAGAAAUCAUAUUAAUUAUUCUAAGAUAUAAACACUUAAUUUUAUUCAUGCUCUUGAAUUACUUUCCUUUCUACCGCAUGUUUGUGUAGCUGUUAUAUGAGUCCUUUCUACUGAUGUAGCUGUCAUUCCUUCAACUCAGUUCUUGCCAAACACUGAGCUAUGUCUGGAGAUACAAAGAUAACUACUCUUGUUGAAGAGAUGCCAGUUUAGUGGGGGAGACAGACAUGUAAACAGAUCUGUAUCUGAGAUAGAUGGCCUGGGUAGGAAAAGAAUAUAUAUAGCACAAAUAACUCAGUGGACCUGCAAAAACAGAGCUUGAGGCCAUGAUAUACCACAAAGACCCACCAAGGCACAAGCACUGUCAACAUGAAGGUAAGGCUUCCAUUUUUGCCUCUUUCAAUCUGGGUACAUCUAUUCUACAUACUCUGCCUUUCCUCCUGUUACAGGAAAAGAAGGAACCUCAAUUCUACCUAAAGUCAAUCUUCUCCUUGAGCUAGAGAUCCAGCCCCUCUCCCAUAAUGAGGUACACGGCCCCUACAAAGAUCCACUCUCCUGCAUUAUCAAAUCCUCCCUCCCUGUGGUAUCAUUCCAGUCCACACACACACAUACCUUAACAUCAUCCUCCCUUGACCCUAGGUCCCCCUCCAUCCUCUUCAUCAUUUCUCUGCUUCCCCUCCCAGUGAUACUUUAUCUUCUACAUGUAUUGCUACCCCUAUUCCCUCAGCCUCUAUUCCCUUCUCCCUUGACUCCACUGAAAUGGCUCUUAAAGGACGCCACUAAGCUCUAUCUUGCUACAACCAGGAGUCGAUUUUCUGUUACCUACUGCCCUCUCCCAUCUCCCCUCCUCAUACCGAAAGACUGACUUUUUAAGACUUCCAUGAAAAUGUUGUCCUUGUUUUCUUCCUGCCUCACUGGCAGCUCCUUCCCAGUCUCUUGUAUUCACUUUUCCUUGCCCACCUGCUGUCUGGUCUUCCCUAUAGUCCAUUCUCACACUAGAUCACACUAGAGUUAUCUUUCAAAAAUCUCAACUACCAUCACCUGGUUUAAACCCUUCUAUGGUUUCCCAUCAUCCUUAGAAUUCGACACUAUCAAGUCCCUGUAGGACAUGGCUCCUGUCUAUCUGUCUGCCCUCAUUGCUAAACAUACCUUCCUCCCAACACCCUACAGACUAUCUACCCACCAGAUUUCAGAAACACAUGGCCUUCUUUCUGUUCCUCAAAAACCCCAAGCUAGUUUCUACUUCACAGCCUUUACUCUUGCUGUUCCCUAGCCUGGAACACUUCUCCCUUAGAUUGCUGCAUAGCCAAGCCAACUUCUUGUAAUUCAAGUUUUGGCUCAACUCACUUCCUCAGAAAGGCCUUCCCUGACCGUUCUGCUCAAGUGCUCCUUCCCCAAACUCAACCACUGGCUAGCUUAUUCCCCCAUUCCAAUUUUGUCAAACUAUGACUAGUCAGUAUCACAUUUAUUUCUUUACAUCUCAUUUUUCUCUCUCUCCUACUACAAUGUAAACUGCGUUAAGCAACAACUUAAUCUCGUUUACUGCUAUAUGUCUACUUCCAGGCACAGUGUUUAGUAUAUUGUGGGUGCUCCGUAAACAUUUUACUCAAUGGAUAAAUGAAAUGACGAUGAAAUCCUUGUUUAGAAUCCUGUGUUCAGCUCUUUGCUCUUCAACUGUAGACAUGCACAGAAGCAUAAAGAAUAGAAAAGUUUAAGCAUGUUUUAAAGAAUCAUACCUUUCACCGAAACCGACAAAGCAACUCUAUAUAAUGUCAAGAACAAUGGCUGUGGCCUUGCAUCUUGUUUCCACCGCUACAGAUCAAAACAGGCAAAUAACAUCUCUGUGUUUCGUUUCUUCAUCUAUGAAAUGAAGAUAAUUGUUCCCAUCUCAUGGGAAUGUGGUGAGGAUUCAUUGUAAUGAUGCAAAUGAAAUAACUAAGCCUGACUGCCUGAAACUCACACGGGAGAUCUUCAAAGAAUGUUAGUUCUCUUCUCCAUCUAUUCUUACCAACAAAAGAAUGCAGAAGACCUAUUUUCACCAGAAGGAGGACUGGAACCAGAGUUAGCAGGUAUGGAGUCACAUGGGUGAAUCAAUAAAACCCACUCAAAAUUUCAUCUAUGAAAAACCUGUCCUUCUUUAUUAUACAUUAGAAGACCCAAAGAUGGUUCUGGAAGCAAACACACUGAAUUCUGGAAAGGGGAGGAAAAGGAACAGAAUUGGCAUUUGUUAUGUGCUUCAUGUGCUACUGGUUGCACCCAGCUUUUCUAUACAUAAUCGUAUUACUUAAGGCACCACAGAACUCUAUACAGCAGUUAGAACUGUGAUGGAACCAGUGAGGCUGGCUUCCUCUUAUCCAAGUAUGACUGGAGGACAGGGC
RNAcentral lists this long non-coding RNA (9430 nucleotides) under Homo sapiens (human). Its description in RNAcentral is "HSALNT0334104". The record is from RNAcentral. Lineage: Eukaryota; Metazoa; Chordata; Mammalia; Primates; Hominidae.